AGAAUCAACGCUGGCGGCGUGCCUAACACAUGCAAGUCGAACGAGAAAGUGGGAGCAAUCCCACGAGUAAAGUGGCGCACGGGUGAGUAACACGUGACUAACCUACCCUUGAGUGGGGGGAUAACCUAGGGAAACCUGGGCUAAUACCGCAUAAUACCUACGGGUCAAAGGAGCAAUUCGCUUUAGGAGGGGGUCGCGGCAGAUUAGUUAGUUGGCGGGGUAAUGGCCCACCAAGACAGUGAUCUGUAUCCGGCCUGAGAGGGCGCACGGACACACUGGAACUGAAACACGGUCCAGACUCCUACGGGAGGCAGCAGUGGGGAAUUUUGCGCAAUGGGGGAAACCCUGACGCAGCAACGCCGCGUGGAGGAUGAAGCCCCUUGGGGCGUAAACUCCUUUCGAUCGGGAAGAUAAUGACGGUACCCAUAGAAGAAGCCCCGGCUAACUUCGCGCCAGCAGCCGC
This 463-nucleotide ribosomal RNA is filed under the name uncultured bacterium. RNAcentral describes it as "SSU rRNA". It matches the Rfam family "Bacterial small subunit ribosomal RNA", at positions 26 to 518 of the family's 1533-position model. The record is from RNAcentral.